Molecule: transfer RNA, 68 nt
Filed under: Bemisia tabaci
Lineage: Eukaryota; Metazoa; Arthropoda; Insecta; Hemiptera; Aleyrodidae
Description: tRNA-Met
Source: RNAcentral
GGAUAUGUAAGCUAAUUUAAGCUAUUGGAUUCAUAUUUCAAUCAUAGAUUAUUUAAUUCUCUUAUCUA